This 498-nucleotide ribosomal RNA is filed under the name uncultured bacterium. RNAcentral describes it as "partial 16S ribosomal RNA". It matches the Rfam family "Bacterial small subunit ribosomal RNA", at positions 30 to 523 of the family's 1533-position model. The record is from RNAcentral.
AUUGAACGCUGGCGGCAUGCUUUACACAUGCAAGUCGAACGGUAACAGGCCGCAAGGUGCUGACGAGUGGCGAACGGGUGAGUAAUGCAUCGGAACGUGCCCAGUCGUGGGGGAUAACGCAGCGAAAGCUGUGCUAAUACCGCAUACGAUCUAGGGAUGAAAGCGGGGGACCGUAAGGCCUCGCGCGAUUGGAGCGGCCGAUGUCGAAUUAGGUAGUUGGUGGGGUAAAGGCUCACCAAGCCAACGAUCUGUAGCUGGUCUGAGAGGACGACCAGCCACACUGGGACUGAGACACGGCCCAGACUCCUACGGGAGGCAGCAGUGGGGAAUUUUGGACAAUGGGCGCAAGCCUGAUCCAGCAAUGCCGCGUGCAGGAAGAAGGCCUUCGGGUUGUAAACUGCUUUUGUACGGAACGAAAAGGUUUGGGUUAAUACCCUGGGCCGAUGACGGUACCGUAAGAAUAAGCACCGGCUAACUACGUGCCAGCCGCCGCCGUAA